GAUGAACGCUGGCGGCGUGCCUAAUACAUGCAAGUCGAGCGAACGGACGAGAAGCUUUCUUCUCUUAUGUUAGCGGCUGACGGGUGAGUAACACGUGUAUAACCUACCUAUAAUUCUGGUAUAACUUCGGGUAUCCUUAGCUAAUACCGGAUAAUAUUUUGAACCUCAUGGUUCUAAAGUGAAAGACGUUCUUGCUGUCCCUUAUACAUUUAUCCACGAUGCAUUAGCUAGUUGGUAAGGUAACGUCAUACCAAGGCAACGAUGCAUAGCCGACAUGAGAGGGGGAAAGGAAACACUGGAAGUGAGAAACGGUGCAGAAUCCGACGGGAGGGAGCAGUAGGGAAGAUUACGCAAUGGGGGAAAGGAUGACGGAGAAAAGCAGCGGGAGGGAUGAAGGUCUGAGGAUAGUAAAACUAUGUUAUUAGGGAAGAAAAUAUGUGUAAGGAAAUGUGCACAAAUUGACGGUAACAAAACAGAAAGACACGGCUAACUACGUG
This 497-nucleotide ribosomal RNA is filed under the name uncultured bacterium. RNAcentral describes it as "partial 16S ribosomal RNA". It matches the Rfam family "Bacterial small subunit ribosomal RNA", at positions 28 to 507 of the family's 1533-position model. The record is from RNAcentral.